Molecule: ribosomal RNA, 630 nt
Filed under: Salmonella enterica
Lineage: Bacteria; Pseudomonadati; Pseudomonadota; Gammaproteobacteria; Enterobacterales; Enterobacteriaceae
Description: partial 23S ribosomal RNA
Rfam family: Bacterial large subunit ribosomal RNA
Source: RNAcentral
AGACCCGAAACCCGGUGAUCUAGCCAUGGGCAGGUUGAAGGUUGGGUAACACUAACUGGAGGACCGAACCGACUAAUGUUGAAAAAUUAGCGGAUGACCUGUGGCUGGGGGUGAAAGGCCAAUCAAACCGGGAGAUAGCUGGUUCUCCCCGAAAGCUAUUUAGGUAGCGCCUCGUGAAUUCAUCUCCGGGGGUAGAGCACUGUUUCGGCUAGGGGGCCAUCCCGGCUUACCAACCCGAUGCAAACUGCGAAUACCGGAGAAUGUUAUCACGGGAGACACACGGCGGGUGCUAACGUCCGUCGUGAAGAGGGAAACAACCCAGACCGCCAGCUAAGGUCCCAAAGUCAUGGUUAAGUGGGAAACGAUGUGGGAAGGCCCAGACAGCCAGGAUGUUGGCUUAGAAGCAGCCAUCAUUUAAAGAAAGCGUAAUAGCUCACUGGUCGAGUCGGCCUGCGCGGAAGAUGUAACGGGGCUAAACCAUGCACCGAAGCUGCGGCAGCGACGCUGAUGCGUUGUUGGGUAGGGGAGCGUUCUGUAAGCCUGUGAAGGUGGCCUGUGAGGGUUGCUGGAGGUAUCAGAAGUGCGAAUGCUGACAUAAGUAACGAUAAAGCGGGUGAAAAGCCCGCUCGC